AACACCUUGACCUUUACACCACAACUCGACAGACGAAGCCCAAGCUAAGUAGUUGGAACCUCCCAUUAAAGGUUCUGAGGUAAUCAUCACACCGGAACUGCCGGAACCCGGGUUUUUAGACCCGAAAGAAUCGACUCCCAAAGACAUCGUUGAAUAAUAGGAAGAGUCAACUUAAACUUGCUGGAGAAGAUAACAGAAACACUGGUUUUGCCGGAAAGUACUGUAGUUGCCGGAAAAAAGUCAGUGUAGUUGCCGGAAAAAUUCAAAGGGGUCAGAAUACGUCGCCGGAAAAAGGUUUUCGGUGACUUAUUUUUUCUUCCCGGAGUCGCUGGAAUUUAUACACAGCGAUAAAUCUCUCACAAUUGCUCUGAUACCAUGUGAGAAAGCACGGGAGAAAACUAUGAUAUAUUGAUAUUAAACAUGAUACAAUGAGCCCUUGAGAAAGCACGGGAGAAAAAUAUAAUUGAUAUUAAACAUGAUACAAUGAGCGCUAUAUAUAUAUAACCUAUCCUACUCCUAAUACACAUUGGAUUAGGGUUAUUUUACUACUAUUUACAUAUUCUAAUAGCCUUAAUGUUCUAUUUGCUAGUCAGUACUCUUUGAAUCUUAGUUCUAAUAUUAGGAACAUUAUGAUGGACUGCCUGCUAGUUACCUAAGGAUGGCUUCUUCGGAGCAACACAAAGAGGUGAGAGUUUGAGUGGAACUGUCCAACUUUCCAACCACCGGCAACAUAUCUGAGAAUAGCUGAUUGCAAGUGAUUAUGACCCCACAAACUAGACCUCCGUUCCCCUAUGUGAAGCCAAUGCGCCAGCACGUAAGCCCACCUUCGACGACUUUCUGGC
Molecule: long non-coding RNA, 842 nt
Filed under: Nicotiana benthamiana
Lineage: Eukaryota; Viridiplantae; Streptophyta; Magnoliopsida; Solanales; Solanaceae
Description: long non-coding RNA (NBEN_LNC012819)
Source: RNAcentral